UUGCUCACUUUGAAGCACAUAUCCUAAAAUUGGAAUGAUAAAGAUAUUAGCGUGGCCCAUGCGCAAGGGUGACACAAAUUCAUGAAGCAUUCCGUAUUUUA
This 101-nucleotide small nuclear RNA is filed under the name Octodon degus (degu). The record is from RNAcentral. Lineage: Eukaryota; Metazoa; Chordata; Mammalia; Rodentia; Octodontidae.